Molecule: non-coding RNA, 208 nt
Organism: Oryza nivara
Lineage: Eukaryota; Viridiplantae; Streptophyta; Magnoliopsida; Poales; Poaceae
Source: Rfam
AAUAAGUGUAGUUUUGUACUAUUCACGUUCAACGUUUGACCGUUUGUCUUUUUUGAAAAAUUUUUAUGAGUAGUAUUUUUAUUGCUAUUAGAUGAUAAAACAUGAAUAAUAUUUUUUAUGUGACUAAAUAUUUUCAAAUUUUUCGUAAAUUUUUCAAAUAAGAUGGACGGUCAAACGUUAAACACGAAUAUCCAUGGCUGCACUUAUU